Molecule: ribosomal RNA, 407 nt
Filed under: uncultured bacterium
Lineage: Bacteria
Description: partial 16S ribosomal RNA
Rfam family: Bacterial small subunit ribosomal RNA
Source: RNAcentral
AUUGAACGCUGGCGGCAGGCCUAACACAUGCAAGUCGAGCGGAGCGGCGAACGGGUGAGUAAUGCCUAGGAAUCUGCAUGGUAGUGGGGGAUAACGUCCGGAAACGGGCGCUCAUACCGCAUAAUAUCAGAUGAGACUAGGUCGGAUUAGAUAGGUGGUGGGGUAAAGGCCUACAAAGGCGACGAUACGUAACUGGUCUGAGAGGAUGAUCAGUCACACUGGAACUGAGACACGGGCCAGACUCCUACGGGAGGGAGCAGUGGGGAAUAUUGGACAAGGGGCGAAAGCCUGAUCGAGCCCUUCCGCGUGUGUGAAGAAGGUCUUCGGAUUGUAAAGCACUUUAAGUUGGGAAGCGUUACCAACAGAAUAAGCACCGGCUAACUUCGUGCCAGCAGCCGCGGUAAUAC